Molecule: ribosomal RNA, 245 nt
Filed under: uncultured Vampirovibrio sp.
Lineage: Bacteria; Bacillati; Candidatus Melainabacteria; Vampirovibriophyceae; Vampirovibrionales; Vampirovibrionaceae
Description: partial 16S ribosomal RNA
Rfam family: Bacterial small subunit ribosomal RNA
Source: RNAcentral
UACGGGGGAUGCAAGCGUUGUCCGGAAUCAUUGGGCGUAAAGAGUUCGUAGGUGGCAUGUUAAGUCUGGUGUUAAAUGCAAAGGCUCAACCUUUGUUUGGCGCUGGAUACUGGCGAGCUUGAAUACGGUAGAGGUAAAGGGAAUUCCUGGUGUAGCGGUGAAAUGCGUAGAUAUCAGGAGGAACAUCGGUGGCGAAAGCGCUUUACUGGGCCGUAAUUGACACUGAGGAACGAAAGCCAGGGUAG